GGUUGUGGCUCAGUGGUGGAGCGCUUGCCUGGCAUGCAUGAGGCACUGGGUUUAAUUCUCAGCACUGAUUA
Molecule: transfer RNA, 71 nt
Filed under: Marmota monax (woodchuck)
Lineage: Eukaryota; Metazoa; Chordata; Mammalia; Rodentia; Sciuridae
Description: tRNA.Ala
Rfam family: tRNA (bases 4-64)
About the family: Transfer RNA (tRNA) molecules are approximately 80 nucleotides in length. Their secondary structure includes four short double-helical elements and three loops (D, anti-codon, and T loops).
Source: RNAcentral